This 440-nucleotide ribosomal RNA is filed under the name uncultured bacterium. RNAcentral's name for it is "partial 16S ribosomal RNA". It matches the Rfam family "Bacterial small subunit ribosomal RNA", at positions 338 to 795 of the family's 1533-position model. The record is from RNAcentral.
CCUACGGGUGGCAGCAGUGGGGGAUAUUGCACAAUGGGGGGAACCCUGAUGCAGCGACGCCGCGUGGGUGAAGGAGCGUUUCGGCGCGCAAAGCCCUAUCGGCAGGGAAGAAGGAGGACGGUACCUGACUAAGAAGCCCCGACUAACUACGUGCCAGCAGCCGCGGUAAUACGUAGGGGGCAAGCGUUAUCCGGAUUUACUGGGUGUAAAGGGUGCGUAGGCGGUCCGGAAAGUCAGCGGUAAAAGCCCGGGGCUCAACCCCGGCGAGCCGUUGAAACUGUCGGACUAGAGACGGCGAGAAGUACGCGGAAUGCGCGGUGUAGCGGUGAAAUGCAUAGAUAUCGCGCAGAACUCCGAUUGCGAAGGCAGCGUACCGGCGCCGGACUGACGCUGAGGCACGAAAGCGUGGGUAUCGAACAGGAUUAGAUACCCGUGUAGUC